Molecule: ribosomal RNA, 706 nt
Filed under: uncultured bacterium
Lineage: Bacteria
Description: bacterial SSU rRNA
Rfam family: Bacterial small subunit ribosomal RNA
Source: RNAcentral
AUAACCCGGAGAAAUCCGGCCUAAUACCGCGUAACACCUUUUGGGAGCAUUCCCGGGAGGUUAAAGGAGAGAUCCGGCAUAGGAUGGACAUGCGUCGCAUUAGGUAGACGGCGGGGUAACGGCCCACCGUGCCGACGAUGCGUAGGGGUUCUGAGAGGAAGGCCCCCCACACUGGUACUGAGACACGGACCAGACUCCUACGGGAGGCAGCAGUGAGGAAUAUUGGUCAAUGGCCGAGAGGCUGAACCAGCCAAGUCGCGUGAGGGAAGAAUGUCCUAAGGAUUGUAAACCUCUUUUGUCGGGGAGCAAAAAGGCUCUGCGGAGUCGUAUUGAGAGUACCCGAAGAAAAAGCAUCGGCUAACUCCGUGCCAGCAGCCGCGGUAAUACGGAGGAUGCGAGCGUUAUCCGGAUUUAUUGGGUUUAAAGGGUGCGCAGGCGGCGUGUCAAGCAAGCGGUAAAAUAGCGGGGCUCAACCCCGUCGAGCCGUUUGAACUGGCGCGCUUGAGUUCAGGCGAGGUAGGCGGAAUUCGUGGUGUAGCGGUGAAAUGCAUAGAUAUCACGAAGAACUCCGAUUGCGAAGGCAGCUUACCAGUCUGCGACUGACGCUCAGGCACGAAAGUGUGGGUAUCGAACAGGAUUAGAUACCCUGGUAGUCCACACAGUAAACGAUGAGCAAGGGGUGUCCGGGUCGCAUGAGACUUGGGUG